UACGUAGGGUGCGAGCGUUGUCCGGAAUUAUUGGGCGUAAAGAGCUUGUAGGCGGUUUGUCGCGUCUGCUGUGAAAAUCCGGGGCUCAACCCCGGACUUGCAGUGGGUACGGGCAGACUAGAGUGUGGUAGGGGAGACUGGAAUUCCUGGUGUAGCGGUGGAAUGCGCAGAUAUCAGGAGGAACACCGGUGGCGAAGGCGGGUCUCUGGGCCGAUACUGACGCUGAGGAGCGAAAGCAUGGGUAGCGAACAGG
RNAcentral lists this ribosomal RNA (253 nucleotides) under uncultured bacterium. RNAcentral describes it as "partial 16S ribosomal RNA". It matches the Rfam family "Bacterial small subunit ribosomal RNA", at positions 524 to 776 of the family's 1533-position model. The record is from RNAcentral.